This 1009-nucleotide ribosomal RNA is filed under the name Diploastrea heliopora. RNAcentral's name for it is "eukaryotic LSU rRNA". The stretch from base 745 to 1009 matches the Rfam family "Eukaryotic large subunit ribosomal RNA", at positions 1 to 261 of the family's 3401-position model. Lineage: Eukaryota; Metazoa; Cnidaria; Anthozoa; Scleractinia; Diploastraeidae. The record is from RNAcentral.
CCGAUUGAAUGGUUUAGUGAGGCCUCCUGACGGGCGCCGAUACUCUGGCAACAGAGCGCCGGAUGCCGGAAAGUUGGUCAAACUUGAUCAUUUAGAGGAAGUAGAAGUCGUAACAAGGUUUCCGUAGGUGAACCUGCGGAAGGAUCAUUACCGAUGCAAUCCAAAAACAACUCCGUUGUUUGCUCUGUGAACUGUACCAAACCAUUUAGGGGUCAGUCCGGGCCGUUAAAUGGCCAUCGGACGCGCAACCGCGUGGCCGCCUCGCCUGCCCCGCCUGUGUUUUUCCUGUCGCCAAUGUACGUGUCUAUUGUCUGAUGUGACUGUGACGGCGUCCGCCGACCGGCGGUUCGCCCGAAAGUUGGAAAGAAAAAUGCCAGAGACAACUUUUGACGGUGGAUCUCUUGGCUCACGCAUCGGUGAAGAACGUGGCCAGCUGCAAUAAGUAGUUUGAAUUGCAGAAUUCAGUGAAUCAUCGAAUCUUUGAACGCAAAUGGCGCUCUUGGGUUCUCCCAGGAGCAUGUCUGUCUGAGUGUCGGAUAUCAUCCAUCACAGGCAAAAACUUGCCGGCGGCGUUGAGGCGUCACGGCCACCCAGUGGGAGCGCCGUGUCCCUUGAAAGGCAGAGAGUCUCACUGCGGUUGCCGAGUUUUUCCCGCGGCACACCAGCGGAGGCUAAAAGUGUGACCAGUCCCUUGCGUGCCUCGGGUGCCCGCCGCUCGAGUGGCGGAGGCGAAGCAUACCUUCUUGACCUCAGAUCAGGCAAGGCUACCCGCUGAAUUUAAGCAUAUUAAUAAGCGGAGGAAAAGAAACUAAUAAGGAUUCCCUCGGUAACGGCGAGUGAAGCGGGAAGAGCUCAAAUUUGAAAUCUCCGAUGCCUGCAUCGGCGAGUUAUAGUUGCGAGAAGCACUUUCUAGGUGGAUCGGCGGUGCCUAAGUUGCUUGGAACAGCAGGUCGCAGAGGGUGACAACCCCGUCUGUGGCUCCGCCGGCCGCUGACGAUGUGCUUUCGUA